RNAcentral lists this non-coding RNA (117 nucleotides) under uncultured Fragilariaceae. Lineage: Eukaryota; Bacillariophyta; Fragilariophyceae; Fragilariales; Fragilariaceae. The record is from RNAcentral.
UCCUGCAUUCAAUCACACAAAGACAUCAAGAAUUCAAAUCAAAAACAAAAAAAAAAGACAAAAACAAAAAUUGUAUGUGUCAACAUUUGCCUUGUUGUUUUCCUUUUUUUAUUUUCU